Molecule: RNA transcript, 4370 nt
Organism: Penaeus chinensis
Lineage: Eukaryota; Metazoa; Arthropoda; Malacostraca; Decapoda; Penaeidae
Gene name: calmodulin
Exons: 7
Source: RefSeq, a predicted model, not a curated record
ACUCGAUUGGCUUGUGAUACAUACACACACCCAAAAUGGCUACGGCGGAUCAGCUGACCGAAGAACAAAUUGCCGAAUUCAAGGAGGCCUUCUCCCUCUUCGACAAGGACGGCGACGGCACCAUCACCACCAAGGAACUGGGCACAGUCAUGAGGUCCUUGGGCCAGAACCCCACCGAAGCCGAACUGCAGGACAUGAUCAACGAGGUGGAUGCUGACGGUAAUGGCACAAUCGACUUCCCCGAGUUCCUCACCAUGAUGGCCCGCAAAAUGAAGGACACCGACUCCGAGGAAGAGAUCAGGGAAGCCUUCAGGGUGUUCGACAAGGACGGCAACGGCUUCAUCUCUGCGGCCGAGCUCAGGCACGUGAUGACCAACCUCGGAGAGAAGCUGACUGACGAGGAAGUCGAUGAGAUGAUCAGGGAAGCCGAUAUUGACGGCGACGGUCAGGUCAAUUAUGAGGAAUUCGUGCGAAUGAUGACUUCUAAGUAGAGACGCCACCUGCGGCCCCUCCCCCCCCGUCGGGCCGUGGCUGGCCGACCUUAACCCUUAAUAAUAGCUAGUUCGUCACGAUGAUGACCUCGAAGUGAAGUGAUCGCGCCUCCUAAAUAUUGUAAACAAAUUUCAAACGAACAGUUUUUUCUGCUUUCCAAUUUAUCUUGUUAACGGACCGCUAAAAAAAAAAAAAAAACAUUGUAAUACACGAGUCGUCACUAUCUCUUAAUUGCUAACUCUUAUUGCCUUCAUAUACACGAUCUGGCUCUCGGCUAGAGUUUCCAGCAGCAGUAUCAAGCAGCCACCACCACCACCACCACUACUUCUACGUCUGCUACUACUACUACUACAACUACUACUACUAUUACUACUAUUACUACUAUAAACCUUCCUCUGUUCUUACUCCUCCUCCUCCUUCUACCACUUUUCCUACUACUAUGACCACGGCCCCACUCCCUCCCUCCGCCUUCGCCCCUCUGCCAGCCUACUCACCCCGCCAGCAGAACACCAGCUACAGCAAGAACAAAAGCGAGUAAACAGCAAGAAAGCGAGCGAGCAAGCAGCCACAACCAACAGCUUUUUCGGUGGCAAGGAAGGCGGGCCGUGAGGAACCUCUGGUCCGCCUGCAACAUGAAAUUCGAAGCCAAAAUGGACAAGCAAAAGAAAAAUAAGAUCGGUAAAAAUCGGACUGCACCUUUGAGACAACCAUUGGAAAAGAAACAUUCGAUCAGAACCGACGGAAAAGAGCGUGUAAGUGUGGGGUGUGCGCCAGACGAGGGCGUGGAGGAUGCUGACGGGACGUGGCUGAACCUUAUCCCCCUGGCAGGAGUAAGUGACUCUGUCAGUAGCGGUAGCGCCGUUAUAGAUGGGUUGGUUGUCCUAGGGAUUGCGUCACGGGUGGCUGGACCUCUGGAAAGAAAAAAGGGAAAAUAUAUUGCUAUUUAACCAGUGAUUAUAUAUAUAUACUACACAUACAUUUAUGUAUAUUAUAUGAAUAUAUACUCGAAGUAGCAAGCGAUACUUUGUGAUGAAAGGGUAGGGAGGCUUCGUGGACGUCGUCGUCAGACCCACCGGGACAGCCUUGAAGAUCUUGCUGCCAGCUCGCGUCCACCGCCCUCAAGGUGUGCUCUCCCACGUAGCCGUUCGGGCGGCCGAGGCGCGACCCCGUGCCUCUGCCGAAGCCGCCGCGGUGGCGCCAUCCGACUGUUGUGGUUGCCGCCGCGAGCCUGGCUUGGCUUGGCCGGCCGCCCCGGGUGACCUCUUCACUUCCGCCACCUUGACGUCGUGAAGGUUGCCAGGUCGCGGGUCACGCGAGUGGCCGUGACCGGUGACGCAACGCUGGCCGAGGCGCCGGUGGGUACUGUCGCUGCGAAGACUUCUCGCCGUUAUCUCCUGCAUCAUUGUUGAACAACGUGAAGACUUUUUUGAACAGCCGAGAGGCCAGCCACCCUUUACUCGUCUCUCAAGACUACUUGGCUCUUUCCUUAAGUUUUCAUUUUGUCUGUCCAGUUCUGAAUAAGAAUGGAAAUAUAUAUAAAAAUAGGUUGGUCAGUUUUUACAAGCUGUUGUAGCAAAAUUAUUAUUUUUAGUUGAGAGAACCAUUGCGUUCGUGAAAUAUAUUUGAUAAGAGGAUAGUAUCCCGUCUGGCCAAUGGUCAGGCUGGGUUACUUUGGACCUUUUUUGAAAUUCCUCUUAGAUUUUUUUUUUCUUUUUAAUGAAGAUCGCUGCCUUGCGAUGCCUUUUUUUAUUUUAGUUUGUCUGGAAGUUAGUUUCUCUGGUAAAUAAGAAAGGAAGGAGAGGGUGCGCUGUAUUUUUGUGUUGGUUGAAUGAAGUUGGUACAUUUCCGUAUCAUGUAAUUUCUUGUUAGGUGUGUCUUUGUCAAUUUUUCUUAAAGGAAUAGCAAAUGUAUACAUAUUGCAAAAAACAAAAAUGAAGUUGAAAAAAUUUCCUCUUGUACUACAUAAUACUAAUGUAAGGCACGUCACACAACCAUGACUGUUUCUGUUUCCCAACCACCACUUCCCUGCAUUGUUUACAUCACUUGUUUGUUAACAUUGCCGCUUUGUGCAAAGGCUCUGUUGCCUCUGCCAGCGAGCUUGACCACUUAUACUAUGAUUACGAUAGACCAUGCUGAUUAAAUAAUGGAUAUUAUGAUUAUAAUUAUUAUUGUGUAGGAGAAAUACAGUUCUUUCAAAAGUUUUUUUCGUCUUUCUUGCAACAUGUCAUGUAAAGAAAGUGUUUUUUUUCUUUCAAUUCUUUCUUGCCAUGCUUAUCAGGGUCUCAACAGUUGACGGCGGAUUGUAGUUAAGCUUCUAAUUUUUUGUUCUUGUCAAGCCCCAUUGGGGUGCAGCGCCCAGGAUGGUCACCAUGGCAACCACGCCCGCCUCCCAACCGCUCGGUCCUGGCUCCGCCCACCACCUUGGGGUGUGGGCGGGCGCUAGCGAUGGGUUCGGUGUGGGAUGGGCGUGCGGCGCCGGGUACCCACCCUGCUUGGCUAUUUUAGAUUCAUUUGGGGGAAUCCUUAUAUUGCUGGUGCGUUGGUGUAGUUACGUUGUGUAUCUCGACCCAGACACUGCGACACUCGACACAACUACACAACGUGAUGAACAUUCCUUUAAAACUUGCUAUGUUUUUGUGAGGGCGAGGACCCCGCCUUGGGUUUGGUGGGGCCCCUCGCGCCUCGUAAUCUUGUUUUAGUGUGGUACGAUAGGUGAGCGGAGACCUGCGGGGAGGGGGCGUGGAGGCACUCGCCGGUCUGCCCCCCUGGGCGUGCGUGCCUAGGGUGGGUGGUGGUGGUGGCACUCGCCGGCCGCCCCCCUCCCAGGCCCUGCCCUGGAGGUUGGGGGAGGGCGGGUGGGUGGGAGGCCCUGGGAACAGGGGGGGCGUGGCGUGUGUGUGGGGGAGUGUGGGGGGAGAGGGAAGUGGUAAAUACGACCGAAAAAAUCGGCUGUGCGAGGCCGUAGUCAAGUUUACCACACCCUCUCCCACGCCUUCCUCCCGCCUCCUCCGCCGUCCGCCCCUGUCCCCUGCCUCCCACCCAGCCCCCCCUUCCCCUCCUCUCCAAUGAGCGGGGUCGGGUAUGCAGUGGGUGUCCCUCCCCUCCCCGCCAGGCCCCGUACCCCCACCCCCUCAGCUAGUGAGACCCGGUACCGCAGAGCGUCCCCGCACUACCAUCACCACUACAACACCAGCAGCAGCAGCAGCAGGUGUUGUUGCUCCUGUUGUCUCCGGGGUGUGGGCGGCGAGGGGCAGCUGUGCCGCCCGGCCGCCCCGUACCGCCCCAUCCACCCAUCACUGCACCAUUUAAAAAAGAAAAGAAAAAGGAAAAAAAAGUGUUAAUUAAUAUCAUUAGUUUUUGUCAUGUUUGGGCCCCCUUUUUUUAUAUAAACCUAUUUGACUUGUGAGCCUGUUUCCUCCUCCCGGCCGCUGGUGCCGCGCGCGUUGUGCCACCGCCGCGGCACUAGCAAGUAGCCGCAGCUCCUGACAAGCCCAUUCGCUCUUUUCAAACAUUGCCGCAUUCGAGCUAAGGUUUCCUGGUGAAGGUGCAGGAGGGGCGGGCCGGAGCCCCAGCAGCCACCUUUAGCCUCCACCAGCCAGGCCCCUCCCCGUCCUUCGCCCCGCCCUCCGCCCCGCCCUCGGCCUAAGCCCCUCCCCCUGGCACCCACACGUGGCUUCGGGGGCGCUGGCCUCGGGCGGCGGACGGUGGUGGUGGUGGCCGGGUGGGCGGUGGGUGGGGUCGCACUAGUAUUGUUGGUAGUGGGUGUGGGUGGCGGGGGCGGGGGAGCCGCUGCGGAUGCUUCACCCCACCACCAGGACUCCAUUAGUAAUUUGAGGACCGGAUGUCAUGUUGUAUUGAAUAAAAAAGAUCAAGAAAGA